RNAcentral lists this transfer RNA (84 nucleotides) under Bacillota bacterium. Its description in RNAcentral is "tRNA-Leu". It matches the Rfam family "tRNA". Rfam says of the family: Transfer RNA (tRNA) molecules are approximately 80 nucleotides in length. Their secondary structure includes four short double-helical elements and three loops (D, anti-codon, and T loops). Lineage: Bacteria; Bacillati; Bacillota. RNAcentral also lists the same sequence under 2 other names. The record is from RNAcentral.
GCCCAGGUGGCGGAAUUGGUAGACGCGCUACAUUCAGGGUGUAGUGGGCGAAAGCCCGUGGAGGUUCGAGUCCUCUCCUGGGCA